Molecule: long non-coding RNA, 1709 nt
Organism: Mauremys reevesii (Reeves's turtle)
Lineage: Eukaryota; Metazoa; Chordata; Testudines; Geoemydidae
Exons: 7
Source: RefSeq, a predicted model, not a curated record
AGGCAGCUGUCCUGACUGGCCGGAGCCUUCCUGGCCCUGCUGCUACCCGGAGGAGCUGCCUGAGCACACCUGGCCCGACUUCCCUGAGGAGCUGCUGGAGCUGCCACCAAGCCCUGGCCGAGAGGAGCCUAUGCUGAUUGACUGGCCUGGACCCGGUGCAAGUGACGAGUACCACGGAGAAAGAAGUGAAGGGUGGUUUGCUGCUCUUGCAGAGGCCUGCUCAAGGCCCAUGGAGCCGCCCCAGACAGAGGAGCAGCAGCUGGAGGAACCAGACCUGCACAAUCUACAUGUUUUUCACUUGGCAGUGGAGCUAAGGAGUGCUGUCAUGAUAUUCGAGGAGCAGUACCAAGGGAAAAGAAGUGGAGGGUCCAAGUCUGCUCCCCUCGUGCGAUGGAAAGCAAGUAAGAGCGGGGAGACAGCGAACAUUACUGAUGCCAGGCAAGAGCUGUCCAGCUUGGAGCCGAGCAGCCGUCACCGUCAGUGAGAGAAGUGUCUUGGGAAGUGAGCAGAGCCCUCACCUAACACUUGGCUUCAAGUACAGAUGCCCAGUUAGCUACGGCUCGGUGUGUAACAAAAUGUUCCUGACGAGCUGUGGAUAUGUGGGAGACAAGGUCCCCAUUUUCAGCAUCAGCUCAUUUCUCUGUUCACAAGCGGUGUGUCCUCUGCAGAAAAGCUUGGAUCCAGGAGGAUGAUUCCAGCCGCGCUGGUACAGGAAUUGUCCAGGAACCCUACCCGGAGGAGAGACUCUCAGAAGUGAACCUGAUCAGCCUGAACAUCCUUCUAAGCAGACAUGAACAGUCCUGAGCCUUCUGCCUCCUGCAUAAAUGGCUGUGAGUAAGCGAAAAAGAAGUCAUGUGCCAGUCUACUGCCCUCAUGUGAUGGAAAGCGAGCGAGAGCGAUGAGACCGUGAGCAUGGUUGAUGCCACGCAAAAACCGUCCAUCUGGCAGCAGAAGAGCCGUCACUGUCAGUGAGAUAAGUGUCUGUCUGUUUUGGUGAGGGCUCUGCUCAUGGCCCACGUUGAUGCUGGUAGGGAUGCCCUGUUAGCUAGGGCUGGGUUUGUAAGACAAGGUUCCUGACUAGCUGUGGUUGUAAGAGACAAGGUUCCCAAUUUCAGGGGCUAAUGAUUCCUCGGGUCAUGAGCAGUGUGUCCUACGCAGCAGAAAGUAGCAUCUAGAGGAUGACUCGAGUUACUUGCCUUCCUCCCAUGUUUCUGUCUUCUCUAUUGUGUUGGCCAACACUCUUGCUCUUUCAUUCUCCGUUCCUUGCCUUUCCUGGUGCUGUCUCCCUAUGUAGGACGCGGGAAAAGGGUACUAGGUGUGCAUCCACACAGUCUGUCUUUGGGACCCAUGAAGAAUUAGGAGGGUAUGAAAAUCAUGCAUAUUAGUGGGUGCCACAGUGGAGCAGAGUCUGUGGGUGUUGACUUGGUCUUUAAUCAUCGCCUGGGGCUGAUGUAGACCAAAUGAGAGAGGGAGGCAGAGAUUAGGGCAAGAUUUCACAUACCUUCAGAGCUUUGUGGAAUGCUGACUCAUCCUUGGCUUUUGCAACUGCACUGGCAGAGGAAUUGUCCAGGAGCGCUGUCUGGAGGAGAGACUCUCAAAAGUGGACCUGAACAUCCUUCUAAGCAGACAUGAACAGUCCUCAGCUUUCUGCCUCCUGCAUAACUGGCUUACCAAGGGAAAAGAAGUCACGUAUCAGUCUACUGUCCUCA